CAAGCGGCGGAACAUGCGGAUUAAUUCGAUGCAACGCGAAGAACCUUACCAAGGCUUGACAUACACCGGUAACGCCCAGAGAUGGGUGCCCCUUUGUGGUCGGUGGACAGGUGGUGCAUGGUUGUCGUCAGCUCGUGUCGUGAGAUGUUGGGUUAAGUCCCGCAACGAGCGCAACCCUCGUCCUAUGUUGCCAGCGGGUCAUGCCGGGGACUCAUGGGAGACUGCCGGGGUCAACUCGGAGGAAGGUGGGGAUGACGUCAAAUCAUCAUGCCCCUUAUGUCUUGGGCUUCACGCAUGCUACAAUGGCCGGUACAAAGGGCUGCGAUACCGCGAGGUGGAGCGAAUCCCAGAAAGCCGGUCUCAGUUCGGAUUGGGGUCUGCAACUCGACCCCAUGAAGUCGGAGUCGCUAGUAAUCGCAGAUCAGCACGCCGCGGUGAAUACGUUCCCGGGCCUU
This 455-nucleotide ribosomal RNA is filed under the name uncultured Cellulomonas sp. RNAcentral's name for it is "bacterial SSU rRNA". It matches the Rfam family "Bacterial small subunit ribosomal RNA", at positions 926 to 1382 of the family's 1533-position model. The record is from RNAcentral. Lineage: Bacteria; Bacillati; Actinomycetota; Actinomycetes; Micrococcales; Cellulomonadaceae.